This 1638-nucleotide unclassified non-coding RNA is filed under the name Hevea brasiliensis (rubber tree). Lineage: Eukaryota; Viridiplantae; Streptophyta; Magnoliopsida; Malpighiales; Euphorbiaceae. The record is from RNAcentral.
GAUCUAUCUACGCUUACAUUCCACAUGCUUUCAUCUCCAGUCUACUUAGACCUUAUCGCAGAUUCUGAUGAUCUGGGGACUAUGCGUGUGAGUGUCGGACCCUCGGAUAUAAGCACUUCUUUGAAAAUCAAUGCUAUUUUGAAUGGUGUAGAGAUCAUGAAGAUGGUAAAUGUUCUUGAUUCACAGACUGGAUAUAAAAAGAGACGAAUUUGGAUUGUGUUAGGUUCAAUUUUCGGAGGCCGUCUUGUAUUUUCUUUGGUUGUUCUUGCUGUUGUGCUUCUAUGUAAAUGCAGAAAGCAGAAACCUAAACCAAGACGUGCUGAAAGUGUAGGUUGGACACCCUUACGUGUAUAUGGAGGCAGUUCUCACACUAGACUGUCUGAAGUGACGGUCAAUGCAUCUCCUGGUUCAAAUGGUUAUCACAGCUUGAGGAUCCCUAUUGCCGACAUUCAAUUGGCCACUAACAAUUUUGAUGAAAAUCUAAUCAUUGGUUCGGGUGGAUUUGGUAUGGUUUACAAAGGGGUUCUUAAAGACAACACAAAGGUUGCUGUAAAGAGGGGUGUUCCUGGAUCUAGGCAGGGACUUCCAGAAUUCCAGACAGAAAUAGCAGUUUUAUCCAGGAUACGUCACCGNNNNNCCCUCACUGGGUAUUGUGAAGAGCAGUCAGAAAUGAUACUGGUUUAUGAGUAUAUGGAAAGGGGACCAUUGAAUAUGGUUCAGGAUAUCCAACUUUGUCAUGGAAGCAAAGGCUUGAAAUUUGCAUUGGUGCAGCAAGAGGUCUUCACUACCUGCAUACAGGUUCAACACAAGGCAUCAUCCAUCGUGAUAUUAAGUCUACAAAUAUUUUGCUUGACCAAAAUUAUGUGGCUAAGGUUGCUGAUUUUGGUCUUUCAAGAUCUGGCCCAUGCCUCAAUGAGACUCAUGUAAGUACUGGCGUCAAAGGUAGUUUUGGUUAUCUCGAUCCAGAGUAUUUCCGGAGACAGCAGCUGACAGACAAGUCAGAUGUUUAUUCAUUUGGAGUAGUUCUUUUUGAGGUUCUCUGUGCUAGACCUGCUGUUGAUCCAUUGCUUGCCAGGGAGCAAGUGAAUUUAGCUGAAUGGGCAAUGCAAUGGCAGAAAAAAGGUAUACUUGAGAAAAUUGUCGAUCCCCAUCUUGUUGGACAGAUAAAACGAAGCUCUCUUAAGAAAUAUGGAGAAACAGCAGAGAAAUGUUUGGCAGACUAUGGUGUUGAUAGGCCAACCAUGGGUGAUGUGUUAUGGAAUUUGGAAUAUGUACUUCAGCUUCAGGAAUCUGGACCAUCAAGAGAACCGCGGGUGAAUGGCAAUGCAAAUGCACAGGAGCUCCCAUCACCUUCAAUGGUUCCCCAAGGUUCAUCAAGUGAUGACGCUGGGGCUGAAAAAGAUGACGGUAAUGGUGUUUCAGACAUAACAACCAGCAAAGUCUUUUCCCAGUUGAUGACCAAUGAAGGCAGAUAGUUUUACAUGUAAACAGUUCAUACACUUCUUAACUCAUUUUUAACUAUUCUCAGAAAGUCUGUUUGAAUUUAUUUUGGAGGUACCAAUCCAAAUUUAAAUCUUCUGUCACUAUCUUCUUCACCCACGGCCCCCGGGCCCCGCCGUCUCCCCCUCCCCAAGCAAC